GAACCACCGGAAUCAGUCAGCAACUAAGCCCGUCUUGUACGCACCAAUCCAUCCAUCUAGGACCAGCAACGGGGUCAGCAGGAGCGCCAGUCCCUACCCGGAGACGAACGGAGCGCGAGAUCCACAGUUCAGCGCCCACAACAAACGAAUCUAAUGGGGCCGGCCACCCGCACGCAGACGCGGCCGUGGGGCGAAGGGAGCGGUCGGCGAUGGGGCUUCGCAUGAGAGGAGGAGGGGGAGGGCAUGACCGGUGGUUGAUUGGGUGGUUAGUUACCUUGCCUCGAAGAGGAAGACCUCGGCGAGGCCGGCGGCG
This 313-nucleotide long non-coding RNA is filed under the name Hordeum vulgare. RNAcentral describes it as "long non-coding RNA (HVUL_LNC012580)". Lineage: Eukaryota; Viridiplantae; Streptophyta; Magnoliopsida; Poales; Poaceae. The record is from RNAcentral.